This 468-nucleotide ribosomal RNA is filed under the name uncultured bacterium. RNAcentral's name for it is "partial 16S ribosomal RNA". It matches the Rfam family "Bacterial small subunit ribosomal RNA", at positions 28 to 507 of the family's 1533-position model. The record is from RNAcentral.
GACGAACGCUGGCGGCGUGCUUAACACAUGCAAGUCGAACGGAAAGGCCCUGCUUUUGUGGGGUGCUCGAGUGGCGAACGGGUGAGUAACACGUGAGUAACCUGCCCUUGACUUUGGGAUAACUUCAGGAAACUGGGGCUAAUACCGGAUAGGAGCUCCUGCUGCAUGGUGGGGGUUGGAAAGUUUCGGCGGUUGGGGAUGGACUCGCGGCUUAUCAGCUUGUUGGUGGGGUAGUGGCUUACCAAGGCUUUGACGGGUAGCCGGCCUGAGAGGGUGACCGGCCACAGUGGGAGUGAGAUACGGCCCAGACUCCUACGGGAGGCAGCAGUGGGGAAUAUUGCACAAUGGGCGGAAGCCUGAUGCAGCAACGCCGCGUGCGGGAUGAAGGCCUUCGGGUUGUAAACCGCUUUCGCCUGUGACGAAGCGUGAGUGACGGUAAUGGGUAAAGAAGCACCGGCUAACUACGUG